CGUCCUGUUUCUUAGUUAGUUUUCCUUUUGUUUUCAUGUGUUCUUCGGUUUUGUGUUGUGUUUGUUUACUCAUGUCUCCUCGUUUCAGACUCCUCACGCCCUGUGUGUGCCCCGCCUUGUUGAUUGUCUGGUCCGCCUUGAUUGUUUUCACCUGUCCCUGAUUAUCGAUUGUAUAUAGUCCAUGUGUUCCUGUCUUGUUGCGUUCUCGUCAUUGUAUUUCCGUUGUCUUUUCCCUGGGUUCUAUGCGUUUCUAGCGAUCAUUGUUAUCAUAGUUUUCCAUGUUUAUUGAUUUCCCUGUGUUGCCGACCUCUGCCUGUUUUACGGAUUACCCUUUUGCCUCUGAUUGUUUGCUUGGAUAUUAGACUCACUGCCCAUGUACCGACCCCUGUUAAGUAAAGUUUCCACUUCUCUCAUUUAUCUCUGUGUCAGAGUCGUACGUGUGAGUUCUGCACAUCACUCCCCCGUAACACUGCUUUGCAAACGGCCGAUCACUGCAGAUUGCCUGUAUGUCGCUUUGGAGAAAAGUGUCUGCUAAAUACCAGUCCUUGACCUUUAUUAUUCUAAAACAUGGCUUAGUUAACAGUGUCAAGUGAAUGCAUAUGGAUGCAGUACACAUGAACAAACUGUAUAUGUAUGCUGUUUGGACGUAUUGUGUUAAGGUAUGGUCUCCACACUCUAAUGUCUUUAUACCUGAUUGCAGGAUCCUAUGUGGUCAGACACUGUGAGAAGUCCAGCCCAACGGUUUGUGAACAAUGUCCCACUACAACGUUUACAGAUGAGGAAAAUGGACUGCUGCGGUGCAAGUCCUGCACAGUCUGUGACUCAAAAGCGGGUUAAAGGUUAGGAGGAAGUGUAGCCCAACAUCAGACACACUCUGUGAGCCUCUGGAAGGUCACUGGUGUACUGACCCCAUCAAAGAUGGCUGCCUAAGAGCUGUGGAACACACCAAGUGCUCACCAGAGCAGUACGUCAAAGAGAAAGGUACAGCCUAUUCUGAUACAAGAUGUGAGACCCGUGGGCAUGGCACAGUCUCAGAUGGGUCUUCGACUUUCUGCAGGUCACACACACAACAUGACACAGACAUGGAAGAACAUGGAACGAAGAGAGUUGCUUCAUCUUCAUUUGAUGACUGUGACAAGGCCAAAACUGGCACAGCCAUCGCCUUGGUCAGUUUCAUGGCUACCUUGAUUUUCACUUGUGUGGCCAGAAGUCCUCAGAGAACCUUGCAACCUUUAAUGUUCUCACUAACGUUUAUGGGCAUAUGUGGUGUUUUGUGUGCAUAUGUGUGUGGACUGAAUUACUUUUGUGUGUGUGUCAGUGUGAUUGGGUGUGUGGGUA
Long non-coding RNA from Clupea harengus (Atlantic herring), 1338 nucleotides. RefSeq lists it as uncharacterized. The record is from RefSeq and is a predicted model, not a curated record. NCBI's taxonomy places the organism in Eukaryota, Metazoa, Chordata, Actinopteri, Clupeiformes, Clupeidae.